AUUGAACGCUGGCGGCAGGCUUAACACAUGCAAGUCGAGCGGUAGCACAAGAGAGCUUGCUCUCUGGGUGACGAGCGGCGGACGGGUGAGUAAUGUCUGGGAAACUGCCUGAUGGAGGGGGAUAACUACUGGAAACGGUAGCUAAUACCGCAUAACGUCGCAAGACCAAAGAGGGGGACCUUCGGGCCUCUUGCCAUCAGAUGUGCCCAGAUGGGAUUAGCUAGUAGGUGGGGUAAUGGCUCACCUAGGCGACGAUCCCUAGCUGGUCUGAGAGGAUGACCAGCCACACUGGAACUGAGACACGGUCCAGACUCCUACGGGAGGCAGCAGUGGGGAAUAUUGCACAAUGGGCGCAAGCCUGAUGCAGCCAUGCCGCGUGUGUGAAGAAGGCCUUCGGGUUGUAAAGCACUUUCAGCGAGGAGGAAGGUGGUGAACUUAAUACGUUCAUCAAUGGACGUUACUCGCAGAAGAAGCACCGGCUAACUCCGU
This 489-nucleotide ribosomal RNA is filed under the name uncultured bacterium. RNAcentral describes it as "partial 16S ribosomal RNA". It matches the Rfam family "Bacterial small subunit ribosomal RNA", at positions 30 to 506 of the family's 1533-position model. The record is from RNAcentral.